Molecule: ribosomal RNA, 407 nt
Filed under: uncultured bacterium
Lineage: Bacteria
Description: partial 16S ribosomal RNA
Rfam family: Bacterial small subunit ribosomal RNA
Source: RNAcentral
GACGAACGCUGGCGGCGUGCCUAAUACAUGCAAGUCGAACGGAGUGGCGAACGGGUGAGUAAUGUAUCGGAACGUGCCCAGUAGCGGGGGAUAACUACGCGAAAGCGUAGCUAAUACCGCAUACUAUUGGAGCGGCCGAUAUCGGAUCAGCGAGUUGGUGGGGUAACGGCUUACCAAGGCGACGAUCCCUAGCUGGUCUGAGAGGGCGAUCAGCCACACUGGGACUGAUACACGGCCCAUGCUCCUACGGGAGGAAGCAGUGGGGAAUUUUGGACAAUGGGGGAAAGCCUGAUCCAGCAAGCCCGCGUGAGCGAUGAAGGCCUUCGGAUUGUAAAGCACUGUUGGCAGGGAAGCGGUACCUGCGGAAUAAGCCCCGGCUAACUACGUGCCAGCAGCCGCGGUAAUAC